UGCCUGCUGCAGGCCAACAACUACAAAUAUUACUGACAGCUUCAAUUCAAUGACACAGUCGCACAAACAAACAGAAACGCAAACAAACACAAAAACGAACAAUCUCAUCGAUAUCCUGAUCUACCCUUCUCCUCAAUACUCAAUACUCAAUUCCCAAUUAAUGUAUCAAACAAGAAAAUCAGAGUUGGACCAUCACGUGCUUACAUAAAUUGCUAUUUUUACAGUCCAUGAGGCUUAUUCAUAGGAUUAUGAUGAUGAUUGGUGAAGGAGGAAAAGAACAAUCAGUUUUGAGGUGAUUAUUUAUGUCGGGUGUUGUUAAAGUUUGAAGCUUUGAGCAAUUUCCAAGAAAAAAUAUAGAAAAAGUUGGAAGGUCUCUUCUUUUUUUUUUUUAGCAAUGGGGGAUAGUUACAAGGGAAUGUCAUCUGAUAACAUAAAAGGGUUAGUGUUGGCAUUGUCUUCUAGCUUCUUUAUUGGAGCCAGCUUUAUUGUCAAGAAGAAAGGUUUGAAGAAAGCUGCUUCUUCUGGUCUCAGGGCUGGUGCUGGGGGUUAUUCUUACCUGUAUGAACCACUUUGGUGGAUUGGAAUGAUUACAAUGAUUGUUGGGGAAAUUGCUAAUUUUGCAGCUUAUGCAUUUGCACCAGCUAUUCUGGUCACUCCUCUUGGUGCACUUAGCAUCAUUAUCAGUUCUGUGCUAGCACAUGUUAUUUUACGAGAGAGGUUGCACAUGUUUGGGAUUCUUGGUUGUGCUCUAUGUGUUGUGGGUUCAACAGCAAUUGUAUUGCAUGCUCCCCAAGAACGUGAGAUUGAGUCUGUCAAGGAAGUGUGGGAACUUGCAACAGAGCCAGCUUUUCUUUUGUAUGCUGCUUUUGUCAUAGGAGCAGUGUUCAUAAUCAUUAUCCGUGUUAUACCCCAGUAUGGCCAGAGUCAUGUUUUGGUCUAUAUAGCAGUUUGUUCACUUGUUGGUUCACUGUCGGUCAUGAGUGUCAAAGCGCUUAGUAUUGCUCUGAAGCUAACAUUCUCAGGAAUGAAUCAGUUAGUCUAUCCCCAAACGUGGGUCUUUACAUUGGUUGUAAUUACCUGUGUGAUCACUCAGAUGAACUAUUUAAACAAGGCUCUUGAUACAUUUAACACAGCAGUUGUAUCCCCUAUAUACUAUGUGAUGUUUACAUCCUUAACCAUUUUGGCCAGCGUCAUCAUGUUUAAGGAUUGGGACCGGCAGAAUCCAACUCAAAUUGUUACUGAAAUGUGUGGAUUCGUGACUAUCCUUUCGGGAACUUUUCUUCUUCAUAAAACAAAGGACAUGGUUGAGGGUUCGUCGCCAUCUCUACCAUUGAGCAUUCCCAAGCAUUCAGAAGAAGAUGGGUUUCAACCUGAAGGAAUCCCUCUUCGACGUCAAGCAUCCCUGCGGCAGGCAUAACUGUUCUGUGAUUCAUCAAUCUACUGUUCCCCGGUUAUGCAUGUUUCUGGAGGACUGAGAAACUCCCAGCUGCCGACCCAUAUAUUAGCAACAUAUUCAGCCGGCCCUUCAAAUUCCUUGAGAAGUCGAUGAACAAAGAUGGCUGAAAUUCUUCCUGGAUAGAAAAUGAAAUGAGCACUUUGAGCUUCACAUUUUACUUCCCCCCUUUUUGUACUGGCAAAGGGCCCCAUCUUAAGGAAUUGUAAUUUUGAGCACAUCGUUCCAUAUAAUGGAUCCUAGCUCCAAGUUUACGGAGAAAUAUAGAUUUUCCGGGCACUGGAUUGAUGUUGGAGAAGGGAGUUCUGACAUGCCAGAACCAUUUAAGGAAAAUGGUGCUGCAUCUUUUUCUGUUAUUAUCUCAUGCAUCUGUUAAGGAGACUUGCUGUCAGGACUGGCCAGCUGCCUUGAGCAACCCUGUGCGCUAAUGAAUAAACAUUCUCUGACAGUCUUAUUUUUCCGCACAGUUGAUGUCUUGAUGACAAGUGGGAGCACUAACACUCCAACUUUGACUUUUACCCCAACUCUGGUCUUGCACCAAAUCAAAAUUUUUUAUCACUGGUUUAGAAAUUGAACCGAUAAUCCAACCAUUACAGGUUAGACAGUUAAUCCAA
Molecule: RNA transcript, 2067 nt
Organism: Ricinus communis (castor bean)
Lineage: Eukaryota; Viridiplantae; Streptophyta; Magnoliopsida; Malpighiales; Euphorbiaceae
Gene name: probable magnesium transporter NIPA4
Exons: 10
Source: RefSeq, a predicted model, not a curated record